This 788-nucleotide ribosomal RNA is filed under the name Limosilactobacillus reuteri. Its description in RNAcentral is "bacterial SSU rRNA". It matches the Rfam family "Bacterial small subunit ribosomal RNA", at positions 712 to 1498 of the family's 1533-position model. The record is from RNAcentral. Lineage: Bacteria; Bacillati; Bacillota; Bacilli; Lactobacillales; Lactobacillaceae.
GUGGCGAAGGCGGCUGUCUGGUCUGCAACUGACGCUGAGGCUCGAAAGCAUGGGUAGCGAACAGGAUUAGAUACCCUGGUAGUCCAUGCCGUAAACGAUGAGUGCUAGGUGUUGGAGGGUUUCCGCCCUUCAGUGCCGGAGCUAACGCAUUAAGCACUCCGCCUGGGGAGUACGACCGCAAGGUUGAAACUCAAAGGAAUUGACGGGGGCCCGCACAAGCGGUGGAGCAUGUGGUUUAAUUCGAAGCUACGCGAAGGAACCUUACCAGGUCUUGACAUCUUGCGCUAACCUUAGAGAUAAGGCGUUCCCUUCGGGGACGCAAUGACAGGUGGUGCAUGGUCGUCGACAGCUCGUGUCGUGAGAUGUUGGGUUAAGUCCCGCAACGAGCGCAACCCUUGUUACUAGUUGCCAGCAUUAAGUUGGGCACUCUAGUGAGACUGCCGGUGACAAACCGGAGGAAGGUGGGGACGACGUCAGAUCAUCAUGCCCCUUAUGGCCUGGGCUACACACGUGCUACAAUGGACGGUACAACGAGUCGCAAGCUCGCGAGAGUAAGCUAAUCUCUUAAAGCCGUUCUCAGUUCGGACUGUAGGCUGCAACUCGCCUACACGAAGUCGGAAUCGCUAGUAAUCGCGGAUCAGCAUGCCGCGGUGAAUACGUUCCCGGGCCUUGUACACACCGCCCGUCACACCAUGGGAGUUUGUAACGCCCAAAGUCGGUGGCCUAACCAUUAUGGAGGGAGCCGCCUAAGGCGGGACAGAUGACUGGGGUGAAGUCGUAACAAGGUA